This 253-nucleotide ribosomal RNA is filed under the name uncultured bacterium. Its description in RNAcentral is "partial 16S ribosomal RNA". It matches the Rfam family "Bacterial small subunit ribosomal RNA", at positions 524 to 776 of the family's 1533-position model. The record is from RNAcentral.
UACAGAGGGGGCAAGCGUUGUUCGGAAUUACUGGGCGUAAAGGGCGCGUAGGCGGCCUUCUAAGUCGAACGUGAAAUCCCUGGGCUCAACCCAGGAACUGCGUCCGAUACUGGAAGGCUUGAAUCCGGGAGAGGGAUGCGGAAUUCCAGGUGUAGCGGUGAAAUGCGUAGAUAUCUGGAGGAACACCGAUGGCGAAGGCAGGUCUCUGGGCCACUACUGACGCUGAGAAGCGAAAGCAUGGGGAGCGAACAGG